AUUCCCCUAGUACGGCGAGUGAAGCGGGAAGAGCUCAAAUUUAAAAUCUGGCAGGCUACGCUUGUCCGAAUUGUAAUCUCGAGAAGUGUUUUCCGCGUUGGCCUGUGUACAAGUCCCUUGGAACAGGGCGUCAUAGAGGGUGAGAAUCCCGUCCUUGACACAGACACCCAAUGCUUUGUGAUACACUCUCAAUGAGUCGAGUUGUUUGGGAAUGCAGCUCAAAAUGGGUGGUAAAUUCCAUCUAAAGCUAAAUACUGGCGAGAGACCGAUAGCGAACAAGUACCGUGAGGGAAAGAUGAAAAGCACUUUGGAAAGAGAGUCAAACAGUACGUGAAAUUGUUGAAAGGGAAACGAUUGAAGUCAGUCGUGCCUGCCUAGUCUCAGCCUUUUGGUGUACUACUAGGUCGGCAGGUCAGCAUCAGUUUGGGAGGAUUAACAAGGGAGCUAGGAAUGUGGCAACCUCGGUUGUGUUAUAGCCUAGUUUCGCAUUGAUCUUGCUGGACUGAGGAACGCAGUGCGCCCGCAAGGGUUGGUCUUCGGACACAUUCGCACUUAGGAUGCUGGCAUAAUG
Molecule: ribosomal RNA, 571 nt
Filed under: Cystofilobasidium macerans
Lineage: Eukaryota; Fungi; Basidiomycota; Tremellomycetes; Cystofilobasidiales; Cystofilobasidiaceae
Description: eukaryotic LSU rRNA
Rfam family: Eukaryotic large subunit ribosomal RNA
Source: RNAcentral